GGAAGUCCGGUGCGAAUCCGGCGCGGACCCGCCACUGUGAUCGGGGACGCUCGCCGCACGCGCCACACGGGCGCCGGCCACCGGGAGGCUUCGCCGACCGGGAAGGCGCGGAGGGUCGGCCCGAGAGCCAGGAGAC
Molecule: non-coding RNA, 136 nt
Filed under: Conexibacter woesei
Lineage: Bacteria; Bacillati; Actinomycetota; Thermoleophilia; Solirubrobacterales; Conexibacteraceae
Source: RNAcentral